CCUUAGUGCUGCAGCUAACGCAUUAAGCACUCCGCCUGGGGAGUACGACCGCCAGGUUGAAACUCAAAGGAAUUGACGGGGGCCCGCCCAAGCGGUGGAGCAUGUGGUUUAAUUCGUAGCAACGCGAAGAACCUUACCAGGUCUUGACAUUCUUUGACCAUUCUGGAGACAGAGCUUCCCCCCCGGGGACAAAGUGACAGGCGGUGCAUGGUUGUCGUCAGCUCUGGCCGUGAGAUGUUGGGUUAAGUCCCGCAAUGAGCGGAACCCUGGAUUUUAGUUGCCAGCAUUUAGUUGGGCACUCUAAAGUGACUGCCGGUGCAAGCCGGAGGAAGGUGGGGAUGACGUCAAAUCAUCAUGCCCCUUAUGACCUGGGCUACACACGUGCUACAAUGGAUAGUACAAAGGGUCGCGAAGCCGCGAGGUGGAGCUAAUCCCAUAAAACUAUUCUCAGUUCGGAUUGUAGGCUGCAACUCGCCUACAUGAAGCCGGAAUCGCUAGUAAUCGUGGAUCAGCAUGCCAUGGUGAAUACGUUCCCGGGCCUUGUACACACCGCCCGUCACACCACGAGAGUUUGUAACACCCGAAGUCGGUAGGGUAACCUUUAUGGAGCCAGCCGCCGAAGGUGGGACAGAUAAUUGGGGUGAAGUCGUAACAAGGUAGCCGUAUCGGAAGGUGCGGCUGG
This 682-nucleotide ribosomal RNA is filed under the name Listeria monocytogenes. RNAcentral's name for it is "bacterial SSU rRNA". It matches the Rfam family "Bacterial small subunit ribosomal RNA", at positions 838 to 1521 of the family's 1533-position model. Lineage: Bacteria; Bacillati; Bacillota; Bacilli; Caryophanales; Listeriaceae. The record is from RNAcentral.